AGCGGGAUAGAGCAGUUGGCAGCUCGUCGGGCUCAUAACCCGAAGGACGUUGGUUCAAUUCCAGCUCCCGCUA
This 73-nucleotide transfer RNA is filed under the name Candidatus Psyllophila symbiotica. RNAcentral describes it as "Enterobacteriaceae bacterium Cmel17 tRNA-Met". It matches the Rfam family "tRNA". From Rfam's summary of the family: Transfer RNA (tRNA) molecules are approximately 80 nucleotides in length. Their secondary structure includes four short double-helical elements and three loops (D, anti-codon, and T loops). Lineage: Bacteria; Pseudomonadati; Pseudomonadota; Gammaproteobacteria; Enterobacterales; Enterobacteriaceae. The record is from RNAcentral.